ACGAAGGGUGCAAGCGUUGUUCGGAAUUACUGGGCGUAAAGGGCGUGUAGGCGGAUUACAAAGAUAGAGGUGAAAGGCCUGGGCUCAACCUGGGAACUGCCUUUAUAACUUGUAGUCUAGAGAUCGAGAGAGGAUAGCGGAAUUCCUAGUGUAGAGGUGAAAUUCGUAGAUAUUAGGAAGAACACCAGUGGCGAAGGCGGCUAUCUGGCUCGAUACUGACGCUGAGGCGCGAAAGCGUGGGGAGCAAACAGG
RNAcentral lists this ribosomal RNA (252 nucleotides) under uncultured bacterium. RNAcentral describes it as "partial 16S ribosomal RNA". It matches the Rfam family "Bacterial small subunit ribosomal RNA", at positions 525 to 776 of the family's 1533-position model. The record is from RNAcentral.